RNAcentral lists this ribosomal RNA (450 nucleotides) under uncultured bacterium. RNAcentral's name for it is "bacterial SSU rRNA". It matches the Rfam family "Bacterial small subunit ribosomal RNA", at positions 63 to 528 of the family's 1533-position model. The record is from RNAcentral.
CGAGCGGAGAUUGAGAGCUUGCUCUCAUGAUCAGCGGCGGACGGGUGAGUAACACGUGAGCAACCUGCCUUUCAGAGGGGGACAACAGUUGGAAACGACUGCUAAUACCGCAUAACAUUGCCGAACGGCAUCGUUUGGCAAUCAAAGGAGCAAUCCGCUGAAAGAUGGGCUCGCGUCUGAUUAGAUAGUUGGUGAGGUAACGGCCCACCAAGUCGACGAUCAGUAGCCGGACUGAGAGGUUGAUCGGCCACAUUGGGACUGAGACACGGCCCAGACUCCUGCGGGAGGCAGCAGUGGGGGAUAUUGGACAAUGGGGGAAACCCUGAUCCAGCGAUGCCGCGUGAGGGAAGAAGGUUUUCGGAUUGUAAACCUCUGUGGACAGGGACGAUAAUGACGGUACCUGUUUAGAAAGCCACGGCUAACUACGUGCCAGCAGCCGCGGUAAUACGU